UGAGCCGCUUCUGCCGUUUCUGCAGACUAUGGUCGCCAUUACAAGAUGGCGCUGGCUCCGCUGUGGUCUGUGACAAACAACUCCUUAUUUGGGAGAGUUGGUGCAUGGUUUUUCACCACCCUAUGAGAAAGCUCCACGUGGCAGCUUCGCAUUGGGGCUUGAGAUGCUUUAUUAAGGCUGGGAGGGGCAUCCGAGAAGGAGAAGAAGAAAUAUCAAGGGCCUGAAUAAACUGCUGAAAGAAGAUUCCCGAGUUGCGUCUUCCUUGCGGGGCAAGGGGUCGCGACAAGUGGUGCCGAGACCCGGGAACCAGAACUUUCAGCAGUCAGGGGUGGUGCACCGGUUAGUCCCAGGGAAAUAUUAGGAGUCCAAAGUUGGCUGUUUAAUGUUUCUGGCAGUACCCAAGACUCGGAGCGAGGUAGGAGGCUUAAAAUUUCUGCAAAUAAUUCACAAUUAUCUAAUGCUACAUUACCCUCCGCAGCAGUCCGUCUCCAAUCUCCAUUCCUGUUUCUUUUGGCUAAUGAUACAUUACAGGGGAUGCUUAAUUGCUCUAAUAUUACCUGUUAUUUGUCUGAGUGUUGGAAUGGAUCCUGGCCUAUGGCAGUGGUUAUGAAAAUUCCAACUUUUGUCCCGAUCCCGGUUACUGCAGAUCCAGAGUCAUUUCCUAUUGUUGAACUGAUUAGAGCCCAUAGAGAUUUUGGAAUUACGGCAGCUAUAGUGACAGCUAUGGCGGUAUCUGCUGCUGCAGCAGUUACAGCUGGAGUAGCCAUGGCCAGCCAGGUUCAAACUGCUGCCACUAUUAAUCAGGUUAUUCAACAAACAUCCACCAUACUUGAAUCUCAAAGUAGAAUUAAUCAACACAUUUUAUCUGGGAUUCUGGCUGCUAAUCAAAGGAUAGAUCUACUUCAAGCUCAAGUUGAGGAAUUGUCUGAUCUAGUACAUUUGGGUUGUAUUGAUCAACGUGCACAUUUAUGUAUAACCUCUGUCAGAUUUUAUGAUUCCAGAAAUGCCUCCCACAUCAUCGGGGAGUAUCCAUCCGGAACCUGGUCCAUGGAAGCAGAAAACAUGAUCCAGUCUCAACUAACCCAGAUAGCUGUCUUGAACAGUACCCGUGUCGAUCCCGUGACUUUGGGUCAAUUCACCGAUUGGAUAUCUUCUGCUUUUUCCUUCUUCAAAGAGUGGGUGGGGGUAGGCAUUUUUGGUGCAAUAUGUUGCUUCGGUAUGUUCCUCUGUUUGUGGUUUCUCUGUCGCCUUAAGGCCCGCAGUGCUCACGAUAAGGCUAUGAUCAUACAAGCUCUUGCGGCCUUAGAAAAUGGCAUUUCUCCACAAAUCUGGCUUGCACAUCUUAAACAGUGAUUUCUGGGCAUGGCCAUUGCACCCCAAGUUAGUUUCACAUUGCACUGGGAUUGGCAUGUCCUCUUUCUUAUUCUCUCCCAGUGCUGGAUAGCCCUUGCACUCUGCAGGUCUUGUUACCAUUGCACGCAGAUGGGUUUCCACACUAGUGCUUUUCUAUCGCCUUAAAGUCCAUGCCUUUCUUUCAGGGUGCUGUCAACUUGUUUGUCGUUAUAAACAGCCACAGUUCAGCCUCAGCUAUCCCCCUUCGUCCACCAUCAUCACUAUACAGGAUGCGAGGCAAGGCACUGCACUUGAGUGAUCCUUGACGUGGACCUCAAGGAGAGCAUGUCCUAUUGCAUGCGGGUUAGACGCAUCCACGCCCCGCCCCACGAAAAAAGGCGUCGGCUGAUAUGGCCUCAGAUCUGGGGAAGGGCCCUCCUUAGGACUGAGCCAUGCUAUGCAGCCACUUCUGCACAGUGGGAUAGGACCUCUACUCUCGCCUGUAUUGUUUUAAGAAAAAAGAAAGGGGGAACUGUGGUGAGCCGCUUCUGCCGUUUCUGCAGACUAUGGUCGCCAUUACAAGAUGGCGCUGGCUCCGCUGUGGUCUGUGACAAACAACUCCUUAUUUGGGAGAGUUGGUGCAUGGUUUUUCACCACCCUAUGAGAAAGCUCCACGUGGCAGCUUCGCAUUUGGGCUUGAGAUGCUUUAUUAAGGCUGGGAGGGGCAUCCGAGAAGGAGAAGAAGAAAUAUCAAGGGCCUGAAUAAACUGCUGAAAGAA
This is a long non-coding RNA of Marmota monax (woodchuck), 2111 nucleotides long. RefSeq lists it as uncharacterized. The record is from RefSeq and is a predicted model, not a curated record. The transcript is spliced from 2 exons. NCBI's taxonomy places the organism in Eukaryota, Metazoa, Chordata, Mammalia, Rodentia, Sciuridae.